Cyanistes caeruleus (blue tit) is the source of this 688-nucleotide long non-coding RNA. RefSeq lists it as uncharacterized. Lineage: Eukaryota; Metazoa; Chordata; Aves; Passeriformes; Paridae. The record is from RefSeq and is a predicted model, not a curated record.
ACACUGAAACCUCAAUUUCUUUUAUCCUAAGGUAUAUUUCUAUUUCAGGGACCAAAACAAUGAACAAGGAGGAAUGGAAAAGUUAAACAUGAAGAGGACUGAAAGAAAGGGAGAAAAUAAGCAAAGCAAAGCCUUGAAGGCAUUCUAAGAAACAUCUAAAAGGGCCAUGACUCCCUGCUCUCUGGCUGUCUCCAAGCUGUACCAUCACUGCUGCUGUCUCCAUGUCUACUGUGAAAUCACUCAGACACAUCUGUCUAGAGAGAGAUGCAUGGCUUAGAGGGGAGCCAAGCAUCCAGGGACCCAGCUCCACUGUCACCCACAGAUGAUCCCAUGGACAGGGACACAGAGGCUGAGGAUACCCAAAUGGCUGCUUCUGCUCUGCACAGAUCGUGAUACCUUGCUGCUGUGGUCAUGAGGUGGCGUGUGAAGAGGUACCUCUUCCUAACAGGAAAUGUUUCAAAUUUAUAAUCCAUGUAAGCAUACCAUUAGAGAACACCUUUCAUAAAUUCUUUCUUCAUAGUUGCUCCAUUUGAGCUCUUGCUUUUUAAUGUACCAGCCCGUAGCUGGCACCACAACCUAUUAAAUAGCAGUAAAAUAUAAAGCUCGUGAGUUCCUUGGGUAUCCAGAAGCAGAUGGAUGUAAGACUCUGGCUGAUUUAAGAAUCAAGAAGUGCUGGCUUCUGGUGUUU